Molecule: non-coding RNA, 1335 nt
Organism: Coffea arabica (coffee)
Lineage: Eukaryota; Viridiplantae; Streptophyta; Magnoliopsida; Gentianales; Rubiaceae
Source: RefSeq, a predicted model, not a curated record
UUGGUGCAGUUUUAUGAAAAUGCACCACAAAACUAAAACCUACAAGAAGAAGAUUCCCCGGUAGAAUCCCUCCAACUACCGUCAUCUCACGUACACUGGAUCUACCAUCUCAACCAGAGAUUCUUUCAAUCUCCAAAUCUAUCAAACUUCAGAAAGGAAUUCAUAAUUUCUCAGACCAAUUACACAUCAUACCAAUAAAGAUUCAAAUUAAUAAUAUGUCAAUAAAAAUUACUUCAGUAAUUAAAACCUUAUAAUUGAUCAAUCAUCAUACGGAAAAGCAGCUCUUGAAUUCUGUUGCAAACUUUUCUGCAUAAAAGUCUUCCUCCAUUCUAUCUCCUUCACUUUUCCAGAUUUCUCUCACCCAAAAACUUAUCAAGACCCGCUCUCGGUAUAGAUUUUCUACAUCUCCAUGGAUGCAUUGUUUAUGCUGGCAUGGGAGGAAAGGAGUAGGAUAGGCGAAGAUGAGGAGGAGGGAAAGGUGGUAGACAAUGGGGUUUUUCGUAGCAGGCGCAGGGAUGGAUUUUUAAUGAUGGUCUCAGUAUUGGUAUUUCUUAUUUUUUGUGAGUAUCUUAAUAGGUAAGCCCUGAAAUGGCUGAUUGGCUUCAUGAGUUUGAUGGAAAUUAACUUCUGUAUGUCUGCUCUUUAAGUUAUUUUACGUCCCGUAGCGUAAAACAUUUUACACUGGAAAAUAUUUGCCUAACGCCUUCUACUGUCAAACACCAGAAAAUCGGAAAACUAUUUUCUGGAAAAUAUUUUGAAUUCAAACAAACAGACCCUAAGAGGAAAAAUGGUAGAGCGACAACUCUUGGCCAUCAAGCCAACUUGACCAAAGACCAUUCUAGUCUUUAUCUUGUAAAUUCUCCUCAAACCUAUUCAUUUGCUUCCUUCUUUGGCCGAGCAAGAGAGAGAGAGAAAAAAAAAAAAGAUAAAAGAAAGCUUCAUUUUGUUUGAGUGAAGAUCAACAAGAAUCACAAAUCUAAACCGAACAAAGUUACAAUAAGGUAGCAAGGAAGCUUAUAGUGGAGAUUUUUGGAGAGUGAAGCCUUGGUUUUUCACUUUCUCCUAGAGGUAUUAAGGCUGCUCUGUGUUCAUUGAUAUGAAGAUGAUUGGAGUACGUGUUUUAAGAGGUUUUGGGGAAGAUGCAUCUAAGAAAAUCAGCCAUCCAAUCUUUAAACAGAUGCAAUAUAUAGCGUCUUAAUGUAUUGUGCUUAUGGUAUAUAAUUUUUUUAUUAUGAUAGUUUGAUAAUGUGGGUAACAAAUAUAUGUGUCUUAGUCUUGGGCUUAGAACAUGAAUAUGCGGUAACAAAUAUAAUACUUUUCAAUUUUCCUUUGUCA